Long non-coding RNA from Chinchilla lanigera (long-tailed chinchilla), 670 nucleotides. RefSeq lists it as uncharacterized. NCBI's taxonomy places the organism in Eukaryota, Metazoa, Chordata, Mammalia, Rodentia, Chinchillidae. The transcript has 2 exons. The record is from RefSeq and is a predicted model, not a curated record.
GAGUCUCUAUGCCUGGAAUACAUCAAGUACACUGCCUUCCAGCUCCAAUCCUGAUUUUCUGUGCCAUGUAAUUUAGACGACUUGUUCCAGAAUACAGACUUCAGACAAGAUCCUCUGACUCAUAAAUAUGCAUGAGAGGAAAGACACAGAGAAAAUGCAGGAAUAAAGACAACAGAAACACAAGCUCCUCACCUAGAUGGUACAUGCAUGGACAGCCCUCAGGAUGAAUCCAAACAUGGGCCUUUUUCUCUAAUCUCUUAUUUCCUGCUUUGGAAGGAGUUUUGGGAGAGUCUGUGAUACAUCUAUCAAGACCAGGGAAGACAAGGAUAGUCUGGAGACAGCUAUCAAGGUACAUGUACAUAGAUGCAGACUUCCAUCUCCAGCAGCUGGUGACUUGCUAGGACAGAGGACCCGUGGAGCAGCAGUGCACAGAGACAGUUCUCAGCUCUGACACAAAGCCACCAGCACCACAGCCAGCAGAGCUAAGUACAGACCAAUUACAGACGGAGAAUCCAAAUCAGGAGGAGCAAACCUGCACUUUCUAUCUCAAAAUACACAAAUGUAUUACUUUUCAGACACAGUAUAUGCAUUUCUAGGAUGCUCAUGACCACUAUUCAGAUUUUGGGAGUGAACUACUUUGACAAAUACACUAAAAUGAUAUUUAUUGGCA